This 260-nucleotide ribosomal RNA is filed under the name uncultured Anaerolineaceae bacterium. RNAcentral's name for it is "partial 16S ribosomal RNA". It matches the Rfam family "Bacterial small subunit ribosomal RNA", at positions 1110 to 1382 of the family's 1533-position model. The record is from RNAcentral. Lineage: Bacteria; Bacillati; Chloroflexota; Anaerolineae; Anaerolineales; Anaerolineaceae.
GUAUGUUACAAGUGUCACACGGAACUGCCGGUCAUAAACCGGAGGAAGGUGGGGAUGACGUCAAGUCAGCAUGGCCUUUAUAUCCUGGGCCACACACACGCUACAAUGGGAAGGGACAAUAGGUUGCGAAGCCGCGAGGCGGAGCCAAUCCAGCAAAACUUCCCUCAGUUCAGAUUGCAGGCUGCAACUCGCCUGCAUGAAGUUGGAGUUGCUAGUAAACGCAGGUCAGCCAUACUGCGUUGAAUACGUUCCCGGGGCUU